This 679-nucleotide long non-coding RNA is filed under the name Marmota monax (woodchuck). The record is from RNAcentral. Lineage: Eukaryota; Metazoa; Chordata; Mammalia; Rodentia; Sciuridae.
CAGGUGUAAUUCUAUAUGCAAAAAGUACAAAAGGUUUCAGCUAUGUUUCAAUUAAAGUACUGUAAAAAGCUUAUUAAAAAGUGAUUUGUCGGGCUGGGGAUGUGGCUCAAGUGGUAGUGCGCUGGCCUGGCAUGCGUGCGGCCCGGGUUCGAUCCUCAGCACCACAUACAAACAAAGAUGUUGUGUCCGCUGAUAACUAAAAAAUAAAUAUUAAAAAGUUCUCUCUCUGUCUCUCUCUCUUUAAAAAAAAAGGGAUUUGUCUAAAUUUAGAAAUUUUAUAAGGAUUGUUUCAGAAUGUAAAUUUAGGAAAGAGUCAGCACUGGAAAAAGAGAGAUAUAAAAAAAGUUAUAGGUAUGGAAAUAUAUUUUAGUAUGAAAAGUUAGAAGGAAAAAGAAAUGUUUCUGGGUGAGAAAGUAUUUCAUAUGGUAAACAAGUUGUAGAAUGUCUAAGUAAGUUGCACAAGGCUUGUGGAAGUAACUCUCAAAAAGUCCAUAUGUGUGAUUAAGUUGACUAUAAUCAGCACAAAGUUAUUUAAGUGUUUUUCCCUAAGGUUAACCUUUAAUAGGUGAAUUCUAUAUGUUUAGAAACAACAAGGACCCCUUAAAACAUUGAUCUGCUAUUAUUUAUCAAGACAACUUCUUGUGUCUAUUAGGUUUUAUUACUUUAAAAGUAAGUCUCA